RNAcentral lists this long non-coding RNA (734 nucleotides) under Olea europaea (common olive). RNAcentral's name for it is "long non-coding RNA (OEUR_LNC009216)". The record is from RNAcentral. Lineage: Eukaryota; Viridiplantae; Streptophyta; Magnoliopsida; Lamiales; Oleaceae.
AUGCAUUCUUUAGUUGUAUAAUUUUUAUCCUUUUUCUCAGCGCUGAAAAAACAGAAAAUGGAUCUGCUGAAGCAGCUGAAGAGAUGUGAUGCUGAGCUUUCAUGGGAAAAGAAAUAUAAGUAAGCUUCGCAGAAAGUUAUAAAUGUUCUGAAAACAUGAAAUUUUGUGUUUGUUGGUUAAUGUUGUUGUAAGGUACAGCAUAGAUGCAAUUUUGUUAGAGUUACAGGCAGAAUAAUUUGAAGUCCAAAGGCUUGGUCAUGUACAUGAAUUCCUCAAUAUUUUAUUGAACUUUAUUUUUUAGUUGGCAUGGAUUCUUAAAGUGAUUAUCUUCAGACUUCUAAGAUAUAGAAGUUCUCGAUACACAUACUUUGUCUAUUAUUGUAUAAUACACUUGUGGUAUUGUUUUGUAGACAGUCUAUGGAAGUUCAAUUUAUGACUCAAUGGAUUAUCCUGUUCUUGUUUUAUGGUGUCUUAUGCAACAAGAUAGUUGCUUUUCCGUAGGAAUUGCAAAUGUUUGUAUCAAGUUGGAUCGUAGGAGGAUUUGCUUGCUUUUUGAGGUGCUUAAUUUCUUGUAAGUGAAAAUAUCUUGUAUUUUGUUUAUUUGUCAUGGUACAUCAAGUUGACAUAUUGCUUCUGAGUUAUUUGUUCCUGCUUCUCCUUGUAGAAAGACAAGUAAAAUUGAAAUUGAUUCUCAUUACCUCAUUUGAGUCAACAUAUAUGUAACAAGAGAUGGA